ACAGCAGCAGCCACGGGAACACGAAGGGUGCAAGCGUUACUCGGAAUUACUGGGCGUAAAGCGUGCGUAGGUGGUGGUUUAAGUCCGUUGUGAAAGCCCUGGGCUCAACCUGGGAAUUGCAGUGGAUACUGGGUCACUAGAGUGUGGUAGAGGAUAGUGGAAUUUCCGGUGUAGCAGUGAAAUGCGUAGAGAUCGGAAGGAACAUCUGUGGCGAAGGCGACUAUCUGGGCCAACACUGACACUGAGGCACGAAAGCGUGGGGAGCAAACAGGAUUAGAUACCCCUGUAGUCCCUGUCUCUUAUAU
Molecule: ribosomal RNA, 305 nt
Filed under: uncultured bacterium
Lineage: Bacteria
Description: partial 16S ribosomal RNA
Rfam family: Bacterial small subunit ribosomal RNA
Source: RNAcentral